RNAcentral lists this long non-coding RNA (1467 nucleotides) under Vulpes vulpes (red fox). RNAcentral describes it as "lncRNA (ENSVVUG00000026326.1)". The record is from RNAcentral. Lineage: Eukaryota; Metazoa; Chordata; Mammalia; Carnivora; Canidae.
AAAAAUUCUGGGAUCGUGUGAAAAUGAAUUGACUAAAGAAGUGGAAUUUGUCUGGUGAAAGAAUGUGUUUUUAGUCUUCUCAACUAUAUAUUCUGGGAGGUACAGUUUUUUGUUUUUUUUUUAAAUCAGUAGUUUACAUGCCCCAAGUUUUGAAUUAAUUCAUGACUACUAUUGAGACAUUUCCUGUCUACCAGAUCUAGAAACAAAUCCAGAUAAAUUUCAUGAAAAUUUGUAACAACAACAACAAAAUUUUAAGUGCACAAAUCAGAAUUUCAGAAGAGAUCGGGGGCGUUCAGGGUGGUAUGGCCAUAGACAUGUCUUUAGAAUGUCAAACACCAAAUCUUGUUUGUCCUUUUGGUUUUGAUAGCAGGUUUUUGAUUUAUGGUCAAGGAGAAACUUGAUGCAAACCAAAUUGGAGUUUGAGAACUUAGGGACAUAGUCAUUCUGAACUACCACCUUUCAGUGGAUUAUUGCAGUGGUGCCCAAAAAGUAUGAGUUGAGAACAUAGACCUAGCACUAGAAAAGAAAACUGAAAGUAUUGCCCCCACGGGAAAAGUAUCUUCAUAUCAGUAGAGCAUCAUGUUUGUGCUCCAAACCACAUAGGGGCUUAAUGUUUAAAAGAAAGGAGGUGGGGUUAUGGUUCUGGAAGAGUGUUCAUACAGAAUGUAUAGUCUUUUUGUGCAGUAGUUAACCAAAAGAGUUAUCUACCCCAAACUACAAUGAAAAGGUUAAAGCAAAGCAAUAUGUAGAAAUACUUUAACAAUUUGAUAGUUGCUUCUUGAAUGGCCCCUGUGACCCUGCUUUGUUGUAGGGUCUUACAGAGCUAGUCUUUAAGCUCUAUGAGCCCAGAGACUUUCUCUGAUGUUUAUGGAAGGCCUUUGCUGUUCUUAAAAUGUAGUAGGCACUUAGUAUUCAUUUGUUCAAUGAGUAAAAAAAUAAUGCAAAAAUCUAUAAGAUGAUGUCUCUGCCCCAAGGAGCAUAUUGAUUAAAAAGCAUUCACAAACGGCUUUACAGUUGACAGAAUCUAUUAACCUACUUUAUUACCUGCAGUAUUCAGUGGUUCCAACUCUGGUUUGUAUCAGAAUCACCUGGAUAGACUCUUCCUUCCUUCGUUCCUUCCUUCGUUCCUUCCUUCGUUCCUUCGUUCCUUCCUUCCUUCCUUCCUUCCUUCCUUCCUUCCUUUCUCUCUUUCAGAUGUUUAUAACCCAAAGUAACUCAGGGAAUGGAAUCUUUCUGGGAAGUGGCAGAGAUGGUGAAGGAAACAGGUGUCAACAUUCACUAGGUGAUUUCUGGCACACAAUGCUGACAGAAGUUUCCAUAGUGGAGAAGAAGAAUAGAAAAAUUCCUUUGUCCCUGCCUUUGCUGCAAGUUUGACCUAUGCCAUUUCUGCUUAAUUUUGAAAUUUCAAAGAUUAUUAUGGACAACAUGGCUCAAUAAAUAAGCACAUUGCAUUGGAAAUUUAUGACA